AAUCAGGCAAGUUAAAGGAUCCAGCCCAAAUUUCAUGCGAUAGCUGACAUAAUUUCCUUAGCCAAAUCUCAUGAAAAUGAAAUGGUUCAAAAGUGGGCUUUGAUUGCAUAAUACACAUCAAUAUCCAUUGACAUGUUGGAUGUUAAUGCUCCUUCAAGCGUGAGUUAGAAUUGAAUGGCUUACAUACUGUUGCUUUCCUAUGUGUCUCAACUAAAUCAGUUGUCCAGGAAAAUUGAAAACAGAAGGGCCUUAUACAAUGAUUCAUGUCUCAACGGUUUCUAACAUAUUGAUGGAAGGUUUCAAAACCAAUUCAAAUCGUGUAGGCAUUCCCAUUAUUGUCAACUUUAUAAUUCAAGGACUGCAAAG
Molecule: unclassified non-coding RNA, 366 nt
Filed under: Hevea brasiliensis (rubber tree)
Lineage: Eukaryota; Viridiplantae; Streptophyta; Magnoliopsida; Malpighiales; Euphorbiaceae
Source: RNAcentral